Molecule: long non-coding RNA, 400 nt
Organism: Symphalangus syndactylus (siamang)
Lineage: Eukaryota; Metazoa; Chordata; Mammalia; Primates; Hylobatidae
Source: RefSeq, a predicted model, not a curated record
GACCUGCUACAAGUGGGAGAAGCUGCAGCAGCCUUCAAGUCAGCACCAGCGCUGCAGGAGCCCUCACCAGCAUUUCAACCAAGUUGGGGCUGGCAUACUGGUUGUCGUGGAAGGAGUAUGUUGAUCCCAGAAUCUCAAGAUACCUUGUAAUCAGAAGCCCAGUAACUACCAAGACAACUCCUUACCAUCUUCCUCAUCGUCAUCAUCAUCGUCAUCCUCAUCAUCAUCCUCAUCCUCAUCGUCCUCGUCCUCUGAGGCAGGGGCAGCAGCUGCUGCUUUCAUCGCUGCUGGUUCUAUUUCAUCUUCAUCCUCAUCCUCAUCCUCGUCAUCGUCAUCAUCCUCAUCCUCCUCACUGUCAUCCUCCUCCUCUUCAUCACUGUCUUCCUUCUUGGCAUUCUUG